AACGUACGCUGGCGGCACGCCUAACACAUGCAAGUCGAACGAAGUAGCAAUACUUAGUGGCAGACGGGUGAGUAACAUGUGGGUAUCUACCCUUUGGCCUGGAAUAACACGAGGAAACUUGUGCUAAUACCGGAUAAGUCUUUACGGAGAAAGCUUUAUGCACCAUUGGAUGAGCCCGCACUUGAUUAGUUUGUUGGUAGGGUAAUGGCCUACCAAGACUAUGAUCAAUAGCUGAUUUGAGAGGAUGAUCAGCCACAUUGGGACUGAGACACGGCCCAAACUCCUACGGGAGGCAGCAGUGGGGAAUCUUGCACAAUGGAGGAAACUCUGAUGCAGCGAUGCCGCGUGAGUGAAGAAGGCCUUUGGGUUGUAAAGCUCUUUCGUCGGGGAAGAAAAUGACUGUACCCGAAUAAGAAGGUCCGGCUAACUUCGUGCCAGCAGCCGCGGUAAUACGAAGGGACCUAGCGUAGUUCGGAAUUACUGGGCUUAAAGAGUUCGUAGGUGGUUGAAAAAGUUGGUGGUGAAAUCCCAGAGCUUAACUCUGGAACUGCCAUCAAAACUUUUCAGCUAGAGUAUGAUAGAGGAAAGCAGAAUUUCUAGUGUAGAGGUGAAAUUCGUAGAUAUUAGAAAGAAUACCAAUUGCGAAGGCAGCUCUCUGGAU
Molecule: ribosomal RNA, 661 nt
Filed under: bacterium IMCC7644
Lineage: Bacteria
Description: bacterial SSU rRNA
Rfam family: Bacterial small subunit ribosomal RNA
Source: RNAcentral